This 443-nucleotide ribosomal RNA is filed under the name uncultured bacterium. RNAcentral's name for it is "partial 16S ribosomal RNA". It matches the Rfam family "Bacterial small subunit ribosomal RNA", at positions 338 to 795 of the family's 1533-position model. The record is from RNAcentral.
CCUACGGGCGGCAGCAGUGGGGAAUAUUGGACAAUGGGCGCAAGCCUGACGCAGCAACGCCGCGUGAGUGAAGAAGGCUUUCGGGUUGUAAACUUCUUUUCUCAGGGACGAAGGAAGUGACGGUACCUAAGGAAUAAGCCACGGCUAACUGCGUGCCAGCAGCCGCGGUAAUACGUAGGUGGCAAGCGUUAUCCGGAUUUACUGGGUGUAAAGGGCGUGUAGGCGGGGAGGCAAGUCAGAUGUGAAAACCACGGGCUCAACCUGUGGCCUGCAUUUGAAACUGUUGUUCUUGAGUACUGUAGAGGCAGACAGAAUUCCUGGUGUAGCGGUGAAAUGCGUAGAGAUUAGGAGGAACACCAGUGGCGAAGGCGGUCUGCUGGACAGCAACUGACGCUGAGGCGCGAAAGCGUGGGGAGCAAACAGGAUUAGAUACCCCAGUAGUC